GAAAGCAGCCAUAUCACCCUGCAACUCACAACUGGCAACCCACUGAAGCUAAGCAGGUGUGAGCCUGGUCAGUACCUGGAUGCGAGACCUCCUGGGAAAAACUAAGGUUGCUGCUGGAA
This is a ribosomal RNA of Lepisosteus oculatus (spotted gar), 119 nucleotides long. The record is from Ensembl. Lineage: Eukaryota; Metazoa; Chordata; Actinopteri; Semionotiformes; Lepisosteidae.